Long non-coding RNA from Globicephala melas (long-finned pilot whale), 745 nucleotides. RefSeq lists it as uncharacterized. The record is from RefSeq and is a predicted model, not a curated record. Lineage: Eukaryota; Metazoa; Chordata; Mammalia; Artiodactyla; Delphinidae.
AGGCUUUCUCUAUAUCCUCCUGCUUCACUAGAAGGAGGUGGGCACUGGAUGGUUCCACCUUAAUGGCAGACAGGAGUGAUCCUAAUAGGAUUCAUAUAACUCUCCCAAUGACAAAAGACCCACAAUUGCCUUGAACCUAUGGAUGGUCAGAAAAACAAAAACAUGGAAGCACCAAAGUUCCCGUAGGAAGUGUAUACCUUUUACUUGCUUCUAUUUCUUUCCUUCCUUUGAAAACUACUGAACCUUUGUGAGAAGAGUGUUUUGGAUGCAUCAUAAUAUGUGCAGAAAUACAGCAUUGGAUCUCAAGGAUCUUCUACCUUCAACUUCUCUGCAGUAGAGGGUCAAAGAGAUAACCAGGAAGACAUGUGACAUGGUACAUUGUCUCUCCUAUGAGCUAUGUUCACAACUGAUGUGGAAAAGACAACUUUGCUGUCUCCUUCAAUGUCCUCGUAACCAGUUUUAUUCUGGAUACUCUCACUAUGUGGUUCUCAUACGAGAAUGGAGUCAUUCUAUAAUAGUUGAUUUACAAACAUUGGAAGAAAAUAUAUUAGCCACCGAGAUUUAGAUAAUUCCAUCUCCCAUUACAGUACAGUGGUAUUAGUGUGACUUUGAAAUCUAGUCGUAUUACCUCUGUUUUGAGGCAAAUAUGUGAGCUUUGAUUCCCAUAUAUGAAAAUUAGUGAUAAUAACCUACUUGUAUGGGUUUUUGUGAAGAAUAAGUGAAAAAAUUUAUAUUACAUGCUUGA